AGGUAUACAGGGUGCCCCCCAGCCAUAUCAUUUUAUUACGUUAUAAACCAUAUAUUUGUAUAUUAUAUAAUGUAAAAUGAGAUGGCUGGGGGGCCUGUAUACUC
Non-coding RNA from Pelobates cultripes (western spadefoot toad), 104 nucleotides. NCBI's taxonomy places the organism in Eukaryota, Metazoa, Chordata, Amphibia, Anura, Pelobatidae. The record is from the annotation of a GenBank genome assembly.